RNAcentral lists this transfer RNA (70 nucleotides) under Ceyx cyanopectus (Indigo-banded kingfisher). RNAcentral describes it as "Alcedo cyanopecta tRNA". It matches the Rfam family "tRNA". From Rfam's summary of the family: Transfer RNA (tRNA) molecules are approximately 80 nucleotides in length. The record is from Rfam by way of RNAcentral. Lineage: Eukaryota; Metazoa; Chordata; Aves; Coraciiformes; Alcedinidae.
GUGAGUAUAGUUUCAACCCAAACAUUAGACUGUGAUUCUGAAAAUAGAAGUUAAACCCUUCUUACUCACC